GAUGAAGAACGUAGCGAAAUGCGAUAAGUAGUGUGAAUUGCAGAAUUCAGUGAAUCAUCGAAUCUUUGAACGCACAUUGCGCCCCUUGGUAUCCCGAGGGGCAUGCCUGUUCGAGCGUCAUUUCACCACUCAAGCCUGGCUUGGUGUUGGGCGACGUCCUCUUUGGGGACGCGCCUCGAAACGCUCGGCGGCGUGGCACCGGCUUUAAGCGUAGCAGAAUCUUUCGCUUUGGAAGUCGGGGCCCCGUCUGCCGGAAGACCUGCUCGCAAGGUUGACCUCGGAUCAGGCAGGGAUACCCGCUGAACUUAAGCAUAUCAAUAAGCGAGGA
RNAcentral lists this unclassified non-coding RNA (328 nucleotides) under soil metagenome. RNAcentral describes it as "partial contains 5.8S ribosomal RNA, internal transcribed spacer 2, and large subunit ribosomal RNA". The stretch from base 1 to 120 matches the Rfam family "5.8S ribosomal RNA", at positions 35 to 154 of the family's 154-position model. The record is from RNAcentral.